CUUCGGUCUCUAGUGGCGGACGGGUGAGUAACGCGUGAGAAUCUGCCCUCAGGACGGGGAUAACGACUGGAAACGGUCGCUAAGACCCGAUGUGCCGAGAGGUAAAAUAUUUAUAGCCUGGGGAUGAGCUCGCGUCAGAUUAGGUAGUUGGAGUGGUAAUGGCACCCCAAGCCUGCGAUCUGUAGCUGGUCUGAGAGGAUGAUCAGCCACACUGGAACUGAGACACGGUCCAGACUCCUACGGGAGGCAGCAGUGGGGAAUUUUCCGCAAUGGGCGAAAGCCUGACGGAGCAAGACCGCGUGAGGGAUGACGGUCUGUGGAUUGUAAACCUCUUUUCUCAGGGAAGAAUACUGACGGUACCUGAGGAAUC
RNAcentral lists this ribosomal RNA (370 nucleotides) under uncultured bacterium. RNAcentral's name for it is "bacterial SSU rRNA". It matches the Rfam family "Bacterial small subunit ribosomal RNA", at positions 83 to 488 of the family's 1533-position model. The record is from RNAcentral.